Molecule: ribosomal RNA, 199 nt
Filed under: uncultured Lactobacillus sp.
Lineage: Bacteria; Bacillati; Bacillota; Bacilli; Lactobacillales; Lactobacillaceae
Description: partial 16S ribosomal RNA
Rfam family: Bacterial small subunit ribosomal RNA
Source: RNAcentral
UACUCCUACGGAGGCAGCAGUAGGGAAUCUUCCACAAUGGGCGCAAGCCUGAUGGGGCAACACCGCGUGAGUGAAGAAGGGUUUCGGCUCGUAAAACUCUGUUGUUAAAGAAGAACGGGUGUCAGAGUAACUGUUGACAUCGUGACGGUAUUCAACCAGAAAGCCACGGCUAACUACGUGCCAGCAGCCGCGGUAAUAC